Molecule: ribosomal RNA, 450 nt
Filed under: uncultured bacterium
Lineage: Bacteria
Description: partial 16S ribosomal RNA
Rfam family: Bacterial small subunit ribosomal RNA
Source: RNAcentral
GUGGGGAAUAUUGGACAAUGAGCGAAAGCCUGAUCCAGCCAUGCCGCGUGUGUGAAGAAGGUCUUCGGAUUGUAAAGCACUUUAAGUUGGGAGGAAGGGCAGUAAGUUAAUACCUUGCUGUUUUGACGUUACCAACAGAAUAAGCACCGGCUAACUUCGUGCCAGCAGCCGCGGUAAUACGAAGGGUGCAAGCGUUAAUCGGAAUUACUGGGCGUAAAGCGCGCGUAGGUGGUUCAGCAAGUUGAAGGUGAAAUCCCCGGGCUCAACCUGGGAACUGCCUCCAAAACUACUGAGCUAGAGUACGGUAGAGGGUAGUGGAAUUUCCUGUGUAGCGGUGAAAUGCGUAGAUAUAGGAAGGAACACCAGUGGCGAAGGCGACUACCUGGACUGAUACUGACACUGAGGUGCGAAAGCGUGGGGAGCAAACAGGAUUAGAAACCCGUGUAGUCC